RNAcentral lists this ribosomal RNA (253 nucleotides) under uncultured bacterium. RNAcentral describes it as "partial 16S ribosomal RNA". It matches the Rfam family "Bacterial small subunit ribosomal RNA", at positions 524 to 776 of the family's 1533-position model. The record is from RNAcentral.
UACGUAGGUGGCAAGCGUUGUCCGGAUUUACUGGGCGUAAAGAGCGCGCAGGCGGUCGAUUUAGUCGUGUGUGAAAGCCCCCGGCUCAACUGGGGAGGGUCACGCGAUACUGAUCGACUCGAAGGCAGGAGAGGGUAGUGGAAUUCCCGGUGUAGUGGUGAAAUUCGUAGAUAUCGAGAAGAACACCGGUGGCGAAGGCGGCCAUCUGGACAGAUACUGACGCUGAGACGCGAAAGCGUGGGGAGCAAACAGG